RNAcentral lists this ribosomal RNA (253 nucleotides) under uncultured bacterium. RNAcentral describes it as "partial 16S ribosomal RNA". It matches the Rfam family "Bacterial small subunit ribosomal RNA", at positions 524 to 776 of the family's 1533-position model. The record is from RNAcentral.
UACGUAGGGGGCUAGCGUUGUCCGGAAUCAUUGGGCGUAAAGCGCGUGUAGGCGGUUUGGUAAGUCCGCUGUGAAAGUCGGGGGCUCAACCCUCGAAAGCCGGUGGAUACUGUCGGACUAGAGUACGGAAGAGGAGAGUGGAAUUCCUGGUGUAGCGGUGAAAUGCGCAGAUAUCAGGAAGAACACCCGUGGCGAAGGCGGCUCUCUGGGACGGUACUGACGCUGAGACGCGAAAGCGUGGGGAGCGAACAGG